GACGAACGCUGGCGGCGUGCUUAACACAUGCAAGUCGAACGGAAAGGCCCUGCUUUUGUGGUGUGCUCGAGUGGCGAACGGGUGAGUAACACGUGAGUAACCUGCCCUUGACUUUGGGAUAACUUCAGGAAACUGGGGCUAAUACCGGAUAGGAGCUCCUGCUCCAUGGUGUGGGUUGGAAAGUUUCGGCGUUUCGGGAUGGACUCGCGGCUUAUCAGCUUCUUGGUGUGGUAGUGGCUUACCAGGGCUUUGACGGGUAGCCGGCCUGAGAGGGUGACCGGCCACAUGGGGACUGAGAUACGGCCCAGACGGCUACGGGAGGCAGCGGGGGGGAAUAUUGCACAAGGGGCGGAAGCCUGAUGCAGCAACGCCGCGUGCGGGAUGACGGCUUUAGGGGUGUAAACAGCUUUCGCAUGUGACGAAGCGAGAGUGACGGUAACGGGUAAAGAAGCACCGGCUAACUACGUG
This 468-nucleotide ribosomal RNA is filed under the name uncultured bacterium. RNAcentral's name for it is "partial 16S ribosomal RNA". It matches the Rfam family "Bacterial small subunit ribosomal RNA", at positions 28 to 507 of the family's 1533-position model. The record is from RNAcentral.